Molecule: ribosomal RNA, 357 nt
Filed under: Triticum aestivum (bread wheat)
Lineage: Eukaryota; Viridiplantae; Streptophyta; Magnoliopsida; Poales; Poaceae
Description: partial small subunit ribosomal RNA
Source: RNAcentral
AUGGCUGCCUCCUCCAGUGCCGCGCAUACUGGCCUUUCUGGCCAGAUCACCGAGAAGGUGACUCGCACCAACUACAUCCUCUGGUGGACUCAGAUCACACCGCAUCUCCGUGGUGCAGGCUUCUUCGGCUACGUCGACGGCUCCAUGCCUGAGUGGGCCAAGCUCGUCAUCACAAAUGACAAGGACUAGAAGGAGGAAGCUUCACCAAAUCCCCUUCAUCCGAUCUAGAUCCAUGAGGAUCAGCAUGUACUUGGAUACCUCAUGAGUAAGCUCUCCAAGGAGUUACUUGUGCAGGUCACGACGAUCGACCGCGUGCAAGAUCUCUGGCUAGCACUUUCGAACAUGUUUUUGUCAUAG